UACAGAGGCCACGAGCGUUAGGCGGAAUCACUGGGCUUAAAGCGUGUGUAGGUGGAUCGGUAAGUACCUUGUGAAAUCCCACGGCUCAAUCGUGGAACUGCUUGGUAUACUGCCAGUCUUGAGGCACUCAGGGGCGAGCGGAACAGAUGGUGGAGCGGUGAAAUGCGUAGAUAUCAUCUGGAACGCCAAUGGUGAAGACAGCUCGCUGGGGGUGUUCUGACACUGAGACACGAAGGCCAGGGGAGCAAACGGG
RNAcentral lists this ribosomal RNA (253 nucleotides) under uncultured bacterium. RNAcentral describes it as "partial 16S ribosomal RNA". It matches the Rfam family "Bacterial small subunit ribosomal RNA", at positions 524 to 776 of the family's 1533-position model. The record is from RNAcentral.